Molecule: ribosomal RNA, 810 nt
Filed under: Trachylepis aureopunctata (gold-spotted mabuya)
Lineage: Eukaryota; Metazoa; Chordata; Lepidosauria; Squamata; Scincidae
Description: partial 16S rRNA
Rfam family: Bacterial large subunit ribosomal RNA
Source: RNAcentral
CAUAGCAUUAAACAACAAAUACCAAAAAGACAGCCAACCUCCUAAUAAAACAUUGAGCCAAACUAUAACUAUAGCCGAACUAAUGCUAAAACUAGUAACAAGAAACCCUUCUCUUGGCACACCUGUAACCCAGAAAUAGAAAAACUACUGGACUUUAACAGACCAAAAUAGGUAUAACACAAUCUGUACCGCCCACUGUUAAACCAACACCGGGGUGCCACCAAGACAGAUUAAAAGUUAUUUAAGGAACUCAGCAAAACUUGUCCCAACUGUUUACCAAAAACAUAGCCUUUAGCUAAUAUAAGUAUUAAAGGUCCCGCCUGCCCAGUGAGAUACCCACUUAAACGGCCGCGGUAUUCUAACCGUGCAAAGGUAGCGUAAUCACUUGUCUUCUAAAUAAAGACCAGUAUGAACGGCUAAAUGAGGACAAACCUGUCUCUUAUAACCAAUCAGUGAAACUGAUCUUCCAAUACAAAAGUUGGAAUAUACACAUAAGACGAGAAGACCCCGUGGAGCUUAAAACUAACCACUAACCCACACCUAAACCUAGUACCCUGUUUUAAGUUGGGGCGACUUCGGAAUAAAACAAAACUUCCGAGCACAGAACCACCACUUCUAACCAAGACCCACAAGUCUAAGUAACACCCGACCCGGCCCAUGCCGAUCAGCGAACCAAGUUACCCCGGGGAUAACAGCGCUAUCUUCUUCAAGAGUCCCUAUCAACAAGAAGGUUUACGACCUCGAUGUUGGAUCAGGACACCCAAAUGGUGCAGCCGCUAUUAAAGGUUCGUUUGUUCAACGAUUAACAGU